UACUUAGUGGCAGACGGGUGAGUAACAUGUGGGUAUCUACCCUUUGGCCUGGAAUAACACGAGGAAACUUGUGCUAAUACCGGAUAAGUCUUUACGGAGAAAGCUUUAUGCACCAUUGGAUGAGCCCGCACUUGAUUAGUUUGUUGGUAGGGUAAUGGCCUACCAAGACUAUGAUCAAUAGCUGAUUUGAGAGGAUGAUCAGCCACAUUGGGACUGAGACACGGCCCAAACUCCUACGGGAGGCAGCAGUGGGGAAUCUUGCACAAUGGAGGAAACUCUGAUGCAGCGAUGCCGCGUGAGUGAAGAAGGCCUUUGGGUUGUAAAGCUCUUUCGUCGGGGAAGAAAAUGACUGUACCCGAAUAAGAAGGUCCGGCUAACUUCGUGCCAGCAGCCGCGGUAAUACGAAGGGACCUAGCGUAGUUCGGAAUUACUGGGCUUAAAGAGUUCGUAGGUGGUUGAAAAAGUUGGUGGUGAAAUCCCAGAGCUUAACUCUGGAACUGCCAUCA
Molecule: ribosomal RNA, 506 nt
Filed under: uncultured Pelagibacterales bacterium
Lineage: Bacteria; Pseudomonadati; Pseudomonadota; Alphaproteobacteria; Candidatus Pelagibacterales
Description: bacterial SSU rRNA
Rfam family: Bacterial small subunit ribosomal RNA
Source: RNAcentral